AACACGUUCCAUUAAAUGUAUGAAUGACAUUUUUCUAUCACGUUGUACAAAAGAGAAAGACUUUAUUAUAAUUUCUUUGUUGCAAAAUUAUCCCAAAUGCCAAAUGUAAAAUCAAGAAAAAAAUCUUGUACAUAAUCUGUUGUUUCAACAAAAGGGCCGCAUAUAUAGGAGGAACUGCCAUGGAAACCUUCCAUGUUCCCUGAGAAGCUGGUCAUAUUCAUACAUAAGUCCUAUAGCAGUUUUCAGAGUAAACCAGCCUUGUUGUUUCAGGAAAUACAAGUUCGAGGAAAUUGAAGUGGGUUCUCAAGACUAAUUAAUUGGAGGAUUUAGCUACCAUGGCAACUCAAGAACAUACCCAGAGAAAUGGAGAUUAUAUUUCAGUUUCUAUCGAAGAUGAUGAUGAAGCAUUGGCUAAAUCCAUGGAAGCAAAGCUUUAUGAUGACUCACCCCUGUCUGCAAAGUGUUCCAUCUUCAGAAUUCCUGAGGUAUUUCGCAGACACAACGAAAAAGCGUACGAGCCGGACGCUAUUGCCAUCGGACCCUUCCAUCACAAAAAACCAAGCUUGCAGCCAAUGCAAAAGGUGAAACAAUGGUACUUACGAACCCUUCUCUCCCGUUUGAAUAUAAGCAUGCUUAGCUUGGUAAAAGGCAUUAAGGAAUUUGAGAAACGUGCACGUGACUGUUAGCAAGAACCAAUUGGUCUUGAUGAGAAUGAAUUCAUAGAAAUGCUAAUCAUUGAUGGUUGUUUCUUGGUCGAACUUUUUCGUAAGGAGGCCUUUCCUGAAUUAAGAAGCAUGGAUGAUCCUAUAUUCAACAUGGCUUGCGUGGUUGGAUUUUUACUUCAUGAUUCGUUGCUUCUUGAAAAUCAGCUUCCUUGGUUUGUUCUUCACUACUUGUUCAACAGGAUUGUGGAAAGGGACAGAAGAACCUGGUCCCUCACUGAGCUUGUCCUCAGAUUCUUCGAAUCCAGUGUCUCACCAACUAACCAUCCCAAAUCCACCCCAGGAUCGCGGGUAGAAACCUUGCACAUUGUGGAUCUGAUAAGAAGUGUUCUGAUUUCACCGUUCCGAGAUGACCCAAUUCCGGAGAGGCCAAAAUUCAUUCCCCCUGUUUCUCUAAAGCCACAACUCAUUCCCCCUGUUUCUCUAAAGCCCGAGAAGCCGGAGGAGCCGGAGGAGCCGGAGAAGCCGAAGGAGCCGGAGAGGCCAAAGCCGCCGGAGAAUCCGGGGAGGCCACGACUCAUUGAGGAGCCUCCGAUGAUGCCAAAGAAGCCUCAUGAAAUGCCGGAGAGGCCUCAUAUAGUGCCGGAGAGGUCACAACUCAUUCCCUGUGUGACUCAUCUUAUGGAGGCAGGAGUGAAAUUCACCAAGAGCUCCUCAAAUAACAUGGUGGAUAUAGAGUUUGAAGACGGGACUUUCAAAAUUCCACUACUUUUAAUCCAUGAGACUACAGAGUCAAUCUUCAGAAACCUGAUUGCUUUCGAGCAAUGCUAUCACAGUUGCAAAGAUAAGAUCACAUCUUAUGCAAUUCUGUUGGAUAACCUAAUCAAUACCAGCAAAGAUGUGGAAAUUCUUAGUGAUAAAGGGGUUAUUGAUAACUGGUUGAGCGCUGAAGAUGCUUCUCAGUACUUCAACAGGCUCAACAAUGACACUCUUGUGACCAAUUUCUUCUACAGAGAACUCUGCAAGGAAGUGAAUGACUAUUAUCGGACGAAAUGGCACAGAUGGAGAGCAAUUCUGAUGCGCGAUUAUUUUACAACCCCAUGGACUAUCAUUUCUCUUGUUGCUGCCUUAAUCCUUUUGGUUCUUACCUUCUUGCAGACUCUCUACUCAAUUAAGUAAUCUUAAUGAUGUAGGACAAUAUAUAAUUUAGGAUUAUGUUUACCAUAUUUUAAUUUUCAUUAUUUUUAGUAUAAUUUAAUUUCUUAGUCCUUAUGUUCUGGUGUUAAAUGUGAAUUAGAGUUAAUAAGGCUGUUCCUAAAAUUAUGUGUAAUUAUUUGAACCUUAAUAAAGAGGCAUCUUAGAAUGUUAUUUUCAUCAUUCCUAACAUUAAUAAAAAGUUCGUUUUCUCUC
Ziziphus jujuba (common jujube) is the source of this 2072-nucleotide RNA transcript. It is a transcript of the gene named UPF0481 protein At3g47200, with no coding region annotated. NCBI's taxonomy places the organism in Eukaryota, Viridiplantae, Streptophyta, Magnoliopsida, Rosales, Rhamnaceae. The transcript is spliced from 2 exons. The record is from RefSeq and is a predicted model, not a curated record.